UACAGAGGGUGCGAGCGUUGUCCGGAAUCAUUGGGCGUAAAGGGCGCGUAGGCGGCUUGGUAAGUAGGGGGUGAAAUCUUGCGGCUCAACUGCAAGGCUGCCUCCUAAACUGUCAGGCUUGAGCACAGUAGAGGCAGGUGGAAUUCCCGGUGUAGCGGUGGAAUGCGUAGAGAUCGGGAAGAACAUCGGUGGCGAAGGCGGCCUGCUGGGCUGUUGCUGACGCUGAGGCGCGACAGCGUGGGGAGCAAACAGG
This 253-nucleotide ribosomal RNA is filed under the name uncultured bacterium. RNAcentral describes it as "partial 16S ribosomal RNA". It matches the Rfam family "Bacterial small subunit ribosomal RNA", at positions 524 to 776 of the family's 1533-position model. The record is from RNAcentral.